AACGAACGCUGGCGGCAUGCCUAACACAUGCAAGUCGAACGAAGGCUUCGGCCUUAGUGGCGCACGGGUGCGUAACGCGUGGGAAUCUGCGCUUGGGUUCGGAAUAACUCAGAGAAAUUUGAGCUAAUACCGGAUGAUGUCGCAAGACCAAAGAUUUAUCGCCCAAGGAUGAGCCCGCGUAGGAUUGGCUUGUUGGUGAGGUAAAAGCUCACCAAGGCGACGAUCCUUAGCUGGUCUGAGAGGAUGAUCAGCCACACUGGGACUGAGACACGGCCCAGACUCCUACGGGAGGCAGCAGUGGGGAAUAUUGGACAAUGGGCGAAAGCCUGAUCCAGCAAUGCCGCGUGAGUGAUGAAGGCCUUAGGGUUGUAAAGCUCUUUUACCCGGGAUGAUAAUGACAGUACCGGGAGAAUAAGCUCCGGCUAACUCCGUGCCAGCCGCCGCCGUAA
Molecule: ribosomal RNA, 449 nt
Filed under: uncultured bacterium
Lineage: Bacteria
Description: partial 16S ribosomal RNA
Rfam family: Bacterial small subunit ribosomal RNA
Source: RNAcentral